UCCCUAGUGGCUCAGUUGGUAAAGAAACUGCCUUCAAUGCAGGAGAUCUGGGUUCAAUUCGUGGUUUGGGAA
RNAcentral lists this transfer RNA (72 nucleotides) under Ovis aries (sheep). It matches the Rfam family "tRNA". From Rfam's summary of the family: Transfer RNA (tRNA) molecules are approximately 80 nucleotides in length. Their secondary structure includes four short double-helical elements and three loops (D, anti-codon, and T loops). The record is from Rfam by way of RNAcentral. Lineage: Eukaryota; Metazoa; Chordata; Mammalia; Artiodactyla; Bovidae.